CCUACGGGAGGCAGCAGUAGGGAAUAUUGCUCAAUGGGCGAAACCCUGAAGCAGCAACGCCGCGUGGAGGAUGAAGGUUUUCGGAUUGUAAACUCCUUUUGUUAGAGAAGAUAAUGACGGUAUGUAACGAAUAAGCACCGGCUAACUCCGUGCCAGCAGCCGCGGUAAUACGGAGGGUGCAAGCGUUACUCGGAAUCACUGGGCGUAAAGAGCGCGUAGGCGGGAUAGCAAGUCAGAUGUGAAAUCCUAUGGCUUAACCAUAGAACUGCAUUUGAAACUGUUAUUCUAGAGUAUGGGAGAGGUAGGUGGAAUUCUAGGUGUAGGGGUAAAAUCCGUAGAGAUCAAGAGGAAUACUCAUUGCGAAGGCGACCUGCUGGAUCAUAACUGACGCUGAUGCGCGAAAGCGUGGGGAGCAAACAGGAUUAGAUACCCGUGUAGUC
This 440-nucleotide ribosomal RNA is filed under the name uncultured bacterium. RNAcentral's name for it is "partial 16S ribosomal RNA". It matches the Rfam family "Bacterial small subunit ribosomal RNA", at positions 338 to 795 of the family's 1533-position model. The record is from RNAcentral.